This 66-nucleotide transfer RNA is filed under the name Pnyxia scabiei. Its description in RNAcentral is "tRNA-Thr". The record is from RNAcentral. Lineage: Eukaryota; Metazoa; Arthropoda; Insecta; Diptera; Sciaridae.
AUCUUUAUAAUUUAAAUUAAAAUUAUGAUCUUGUAAAUCAUACUUAAGAAACCCUCUUUAAAGAUA